Equus caballus (horse) is the source of this 5030-nucleotide non-coding RNA. The record is from RefSeq and is a predicted model, not a curated record. Lineage: Eukaryota; Metazoa; Chordata; Mammalia; Perissodactyla; Equidae.
UUUGUCACUGAAAGAAAAAGAAAGCAGUCAUUUUUGUUGGUGAAAUUCUCCUGAGAACCUUUCAUUUUUUCUGGAAAUGACCUGGGGCACCUUGCACACAAACAUCGAAACCAAAUAGUCAUAUUAUCACUGUGUUCCUAACCCUAGAGACUUUUAGCAUGGGUGUGGGUUUGCAUAACAGGAAAACUAGCAUUGACCUGGUACAAAUGCUAAAUAAAUGUUUAAAAAAAUUCAAGGAUAAUGCUGCAAUGAUGCAAAGGUGUGUGUGUGUGUUUCUCUAAAUCAUCUAAAUGUAUUUGACAGUGGAUACAAAGUUCAAGGCAAAAAAAAAAGAAGAAAAAAGUUUGCAUAAAUGGAUAGAGAAAAUAGCUCCCUCUUUCAGGGAAUUUGGGGACUCACUGUGUGACAAUGCGUAAGUCACCUAGUCUCCACGUUCUGUCUUCCGCCUUUAAAAUGAGGAUUGGAACACCUCAGAAUGCCUCUACUCAACAAAAGAUAUCUCUAAGAUACGAGAGACUCAUGUAAUGAAGAGCAUCCAUCCUUGGAAGGAAGGAUUUGAGUUAAGGGACUCUAUGAUUCUAUGAUGCUGCUUGAAAAAGUGAAAGCAAACUCAUUCUUAACAGCAAACUAAAAGAGAAACUCAAGGGCCAGCCCAGGUGGCCUAGUGGUUAAGUUUGGCACAUUCUGCUUCAGUGGCCUGGGCCCGGUGCCAAGGUGCAGGCCUAUGCCACUCCUCUGCCAGGGUCCAUGCUGUCGCAGUAGGUCACAUACAAAAGAGGAAGAUUGGCAAUAGAUCUUAGCUCAGGGCAAAUCUUCCUCAGCAAAAAAAAGAGAGAAACUCAAGUUAUACUGGAAAAGGGAGAGUGGAAGCGGGAGGAGUGGGGAGAACACGCUAAUACUGAUCAAGGAAAGUAUUAUGAAUUUUAUGUACUUUUCCUUUUCUUAAGAGAAUUGUUUAACUACAUUCCAGCUUCUGCAGCCUAAUUGACUGUUAACUCGCAUCUCCAGAGACACCUGUGGAGUUGAGACAGUUCAGCAUUCAAAGCACAUUCAGUUGAACGUGAUAAACAGAUAAAACGCCUCACUGUCCUUGUCUCUUUCGUCUUUGAUAGAUGCUCUUCAAACAGAAUAUGUAAAAGAGAAGGAAAAACAUAAUCUAAGCCGCUUUUUCUUUUUGACCUUUGGGAUAUUUUUACUGUAGGAAACAGAAGUUUCUGAAGUUGGUGUACUCUGAUUCGAUUAAACAAAUACUUUCUGCUUGCUCACCAUCAAAAUGAGGAAGCUGCUUGCCCACAAAUUCUCUAAAGGAGGAUUCAGAAGAAAAAGGAAUAGCAGUUAAUCCUUUCCCAGGUCACACCUAGAAUAGGUGUCUGCUAAUAGGGAAGUUAUUUGUGUUUAAAAUAUAAAUAUACAUUUUGAAAUACGUUGAAGGAAUCAUUGAUGAAAGAGUAGAGUCAGAAGUUCAAUCCCAAGUAGACAAUUGUAUUUUUCAAACUGUGUCAGAGGAUCUGAGAGUUUCUAUUAGGUAUUCCCAGAAAAAUAAAAAUAUGAAAGGUGUUCCUUAGUUAAGUAACUCUAGGGAAAGCUGACAACGAAAGUUACAGCCUUGUACGUAACUUUGGAGUAUUUAAUAGGCUAAUGUAUAUUAUGAAUUUCCAAGAGAGAGAGUCUGUAGUAAGCAGCAAUUCUCAAACAUGACAUUUUUGGCAGUACAAAAUAACUCUCCUAUGUUUUAAGAAAAGCAGGUUGGGAAAUACUGGCAUAGCACAAACUUGCAUUUGAAGCUUGGUUGAAGUUUCCUGGGUAAGUUAUAUCACGUUGCCGAUAUCUAAACAUCUUGACAGCAUUUCCAAUAUCCAGUGGACAUCCCAUUUUAUUUGCUUCUAGUCACAUGUGAAUUUAACAUUUAUGUUCAGAUGUCCAUACUUCUUGACACACAAAUGUGAACAUUAGUGACCUUGCUGUGCAGUGGUGGGCAGUGAAGUCAAAGAAGAAAAUCCUAGGUUAGUUGUACAGAGGAGGCCAGUCACUGAGCGCCAGAAGCAAUGGCAUUAGGUCACAGCUCAAUACCAAGUCAGAAAAUGUUCUUUUGUGUUUACAGUGGGUGCAGGGUGUUCUGGAAAAGUCACAUUACUUUUUUCCCUCUCAAAGUGUUUACAUCUGGAAAAAUUUGCCGUGUUUUAAUAAUGUAAAAUCUUAAUUAUUUUCUAAACAGCCCUGUUUCUCUCCUCUCAAUUUGGAGCCUUGUAUUUGUCCCACUGUGUGUCACAACCCCUUUGGCUUUUUUGGUGUCAAUCCCAUACCUAUUCUGGUGACAGGAGGACUUUUGCCAAAGUAGAAACUCAUGUAGUUCGAUACCGCCUGCUUGUUAUCUCUGUGGUAGUACCAUUCUGUCCCUAUCUAGUGAAGGUAUAUUGGAAUUUGUCCCUGGAAAGUCAGGCUCUAUAUCAGCAAUAGAUGAUUUAGAAGAAAGCCAUUCAAAGUGACACAGAGACUUUAGUUUAAUGAACUGUAUUUAUUGCCAGUUGUGGGAAUGUUGAUAUGUCAAGCAAUAGAUACGGGAAGAUCCUGAGUUAUCCAUUGGAAAUAACUAUUCCUUAAAAACAAAAGAAAACAAAACUUAUAAGGAGGGAAGAAGACAGUAAGUAAAGCACACGAGAGGGCAUGUUCACGUUUUUCCUAAAUUAUGGCAUCCAGAAUAUGAGGGAAACAGAACAGUUCUGUAUUGUGACAGGAAGACUGCAAAUGAAAUUGGCUUGUUCAUGAUUUUAGUCAUAUUUCCCAGAAUCCAAAUUCAAGGAGAAGUUUGUUCCCACCAUGUGGAUCUGCUUCCUUGUGUUGAGUUUUGUCUUCCUUGACAACCACACAGAAAGCACUCUGGCACAGGCUGGAUAGGGGUUGCGUGAUGCUCCUUGUCAGUCGUGUUGAGCACCCGGACGCCACUUCCCAUUCUGCCUCAGGGCAGGAUAGCAAGAGGUCAGCGCACAGCGUGGUGUGCAGGGAGGUGAGCUGGAAGUAUUAACCAGGCAACUUGGGCCGAAACUGUUCUGAGCAUGUGUCAGUGAUAUCUCAAGCACAUGAAAAACCAGCUUUACUGUCCCUUGAGAGGAGAUUAAUUUUUUUGUAUUUCUAGAGCAUUUACCAUUGUCAGGUGGACACAUAUCAUCCCUGUUUUUCAGCUGUAGAAACUGGAAUGCUGAAAGGUUAAGCAACGUUCACAAAGUUACAUGGUGAGUCAUCUUCUGAAUCAGGAAAUAAAUUGGUAGCUACGAUUUCCUCCGCCCUGAUUCCACCAGCCCGCAGGAGUCAUUUAACACUGUUUACAGAACUCUUUUUCUUUAUUCUCCUGCAAUGGGCACUGAACAGAUUUUCUGAGAUUUAAAAAUUAUGAAAUGUGGCAUGUUUUAGGGAGCAGUAGAAUUCAACCAACAACAUUAAUUCAUUCAACAAGUUUUAUUGAACAUUAAUUUUGUAUAGGAGCCAAAAGUUUUCAGUCCUAAUUUAAACUCUCCCCAUGAUUUGGAAAUAUGCACAUAAUGUUCUCUUCGCCUCCAGUAAAAUAGGAAUAAUUAUCCCUACCACAGAUUUCAUUAAAAAGUUAUGUGAUUAUCUUACAUGAUAUGUUUUCAGCUAAAUGGAUGAAUUACUGGAUACGAUUCUUUUCCAUGCUCACUGUCCCCUUUUCUAUUAGAACUUUGGUAAGUUUCUUACCAAAAAGUUUUAAAAAUAUUAUCUAAUUUCAUUGUAUAUGUUUACACUUGUCACAAUACUUCAGAGGGCUGUGCCACAUCGCUGUACUAGACGCUUUGAUCUAUAUUGUCAUAUUCCAUCCUUGUGACAACCACUAACUUCCAGGGAACUCUGAACAAGUCACCCUUUGCUGAGGUCCAGAUUUGGAAAUAUCUUCAGUGACAUCCUGUCAAUAGUAAGAAAAAAAUGAACUAAGUUAACGUUUUUUAAAAAGGCAUUAAAAGUCAUAAUUUAACAAAAAGAGUAUGACGAGCAUGAGACAUAUGGUAAAACAUAACAUCUCAUUUAAAAAAAACCCUACAUAUUAAUAUCUUCCUCUAGACUUUCCAUGUAACCUUUUCUGAAGAUGAUGAAAUGUCCUAUAGAUGGUGAAUUCUCAUUAUUCAUUCAUAAUUUAUUCUCAUUAUUCAUUAUACAUUGCAAUUGUGGAAUGUACAUUAUGCAUUAUAGUGUGUCCUGCAUAAUUUUCUCAAAUACUAAACCAUUGCUCCUAGGGGAGACACAGUUAGGUUCCUAUGAGCCUCAUCACAUUUUCAUGACAGAUUCAUACAUAACCUUGUUUUCUGUGUGUUUCUGUUUUAAAGGUAUCUCAUAUAUUAUUAUUGUUGAUUCAUUAAUAUUGAACUCACAACCCACAGCACUAUAACUCUUGUCUGAACAAGGCCUGUCUAACACACCUAUUUUCUCUCUAAGGCACAUCAUAGCCAUCUUGCGCUUGGCUUCAUUACUGUGCUUGGGCUCAUUUUAAACAUCGAACCACAACAAAAAUGCAAAAAAUGUGACACAAAAUAGAUCACAAAAAGCCACGUAUUUCCAGUAUGGGAGCUGAUACAAGAAGGCAGAGCAUACAUUUGGGAUACGUUUGAUGAGUGACGCAAAUCUGUCGCUGAUCUCCACGCAGCCAUGAAUGACCAUAAAACACUAUGGUGCCGCACUCUGUGAAGGCUCUGCGUGGAGCCCUCUUUCUCCCGGCAAUCAGGAGCUGUGGUCUUGCUAGAACGCACAGUAAAGAGCACGAGAAACUGCUAAGUAGAAGGUCUGUCCAUGCAGCCCUGCUCCUGGGGGGAGAGGGAAAUGGUGGGAAUGAAGAAAGAGUCAGCUGAUGAAGAACUACUUCUUCUGAAAUCAACAUUCAAAAAGGUCAAUCACUUGACGUGGCUUCUUACUGGAAACAUCAGCAGUGGAUUUCGUACACUUAGGGGCUGUGGUGAACAAAACAACACAAGAUUAAAUCAAGGGCAAGAGAAAAUGAUGCAAUCAAGAGAUGCAGAGGGGCCGGC